Molecule: ribosomal RNA, 301 nt
Filed under: uncultured bacterium
Lineage: Bacteria
Description: partial 16S ribosomal RNA
Rfam family: Bacterial small subunit ribosomal RNA
Source: RNAcentral
CAGUAGCCACGGUAAUACGGAGGGAGCUAGCGUUGUUCGGAAUUACUGGGCGUAAAGCGCGCGUAGGCGGUUACUCAAGUCAGAGGUGAAAGCCCGGGGCUCAACCCCGGAACUGCCUUUGAAACUAGGUGACUAGAAUCUUGGAGAGGUCAGUGGAAUUCCGAGUGUAGAGGUGAAGUUCGUAGAUAUUCGGAAGAACACCAGUGGCGAAGGCGACUGACUGGACAAGUAUUGACGCUGAGGUGCGAAAGCGUGGGGAGCAAACAGGAUUAGAUACCCCAGUAGUCCCUGUCUCUUAUAC